UCUUCCGUAGUAUAGUGGUCAGUAUGUGAGCUUGUCAUUCAUUCCCUUUGAACUGUCAACGCUCGAGACCCGGGUUCAAUUCCCGGCGGGAGAG
Molecule: non-coding RNA, 94 nt
Organism: Cercophora samala
Lineage: Eukaryota; Fungi; Ascomycota; Sordariomycetes; Sordariales; Lasiosphaeriaceae
Source: the annotation of a GenBank genome assembly